Capsicum annuum is the source of this 3359-nucleotide non-coding RNA. The record is from Rfam. Lineage: Eukaryota; Viridiplantae; Streptophyta; Magnoliopsida; Solanales; Solanaceae.
CGACCCUAUGUCAGGUGGGAUUACCCAUUGAGUUUAAGCAUAUUAAUAAGCAGAGGUAAAGAAACUUACAAGGAUUUUCUUAGUAAUGACAAGCGAGCUGGUAAUAACCCAGCCUUAGAAUUGGGUAGCUCUGUCGUUUGAAUUGUAGUUUGAGGAAGUAUCCGUAGUGGCAGAUCAGGCCCAAGUCCCUUGGAAGAGGGCACUGGAGAGGGUGAGAGCCCCGUUGUGCCUAGGCCCUUUCAUACCACAAGGCACUAUCUAUGAGUCAGAUUGUUUGAAAAUACAGCCCAAAUCAGGCAGUGAAUUUUGUCCAAGACUAAAUAUGGGCGAGAGACCAAUUGCGAACAAGUACCACGGGGGAAAGAUGAAAAAGAAUUUGAAAAAAGAGUCAAAAAGUGCUUGAAAUUGUCCAGAAAAAAGCGGAUGAGGGCCAGCGAUGUGCCCCGGUCGAAUGUUGAGCGACGGUGAGCCAGUCUAUCGAUUAUCUCGGGGCGUGGACUAGCGUUGAUUGGGGGACAACCAAAGCCCGGGCUCUCGAUACUCUUAUAGAAUGCUACCUCCUUAAUCAACAUGAGCCUUUGGCAUGCUUCGGCAUCUACGCGCUUCAGACGUUGGCUUGUGGGCUUCCCACUCGACCCAUCUUGAAAAACAAAACAAGGAGUCUAACAUAUGUUUGAUUCAAUGGUUAAAUAAACCCUUAAAGCAUAAAGAACCUGAUUGGUGAGAUCCCUCUGAGGGGUGCACUGCUGAUCGACAUUGAUCUUCUGCGAAGGGUUCGAGUGUGAGCAUACAUUUAGGGACUCGAAAGAUGGUGAUUUAUGCCUGAGCAUGGAAAAUAUAGAGGAAACUUUGGUGGAGACCUAUAACGUUACUGACGUGCAAAUUGUUCGUCUGACUUGGGUGUAGGGGAGAAAUACUGAUCAAAUCAUCUGGUAGCUGGUUACCUUCAAAGUUUCUCUCAGGAUAGUUGGAGCUUGCAUGGGAGUUCUAUUGGGUAAAGCCAAUAAUUAGAGUCCUCGGGGGUGUAAUGCCCUCGAACUAUUCUAAAACUUUAAAUAGGUAGGAUGGUGCGACUGCUUUGUUGAGCCGUGCCACAAAAUCAAGAGCUCCAUUUGGGCCAUUUUUGGUAAGCAGAACAGACAAUGAGGGAUGAACCAGAAGUCGAGUUACGACACUAAAAUAUCUGCUAACCUAGAUCCCGCAAAGGGUGUUAGUCGAUUAAGAUAGCAAGACGGUGGUUAUGGAAGUUGAAAUUCACUUAGAUGUGUGUAACAACUCAACUAUCAAAUCAAAUUACCCCAAAAAUAAAUGGAACUUAAGCGCGCAACAUACGCCGGGCCAUUGAGACAAGUUCCAGGCCCCGAUAAGUAGGAGGAUGCAGCGGUCACUGUAAAAUCUUAGGUGUAAUCCUGGGUGAAGCAACCUUCGGUGCAGAUCCUGGUGGUAGUAGAAAAUAUUAAAAUGAGAACUUUAAAGGCCAAAGAAGGGAAAAAUUCUAUUUGAACGGCACUUGCACAUGGGUUAGUCGAUCCUAAGGGUCAAGGGAAUCUAGACAAAUAGUGCGUUUUGCGAGUACACUAAAAAGAAAUAGGGUUAAAAUUCCUGAACCGUGAUAUGGCAGUCGACGACAAUGUUAGAAAGUUUGGAGACGUUGGAGGGAGCCUUGGGAAGAGUUAUUUUUUUGCUUAAUAGCCUGCCCAUCCAGGAAUUGGCUCAGUCAUAGAGGUAGGGUCCAGCGGCUGGAAGAGCACCGCAAGUUGUGUGGUGUCUGGUGUGCUCCUGGUGGCACUUGAAAAUUCGAAGGACCGAAUAUUGUCCACGCCCGGUUGUACUCUUAACCACAUCAGGUCUUCAAUAUAAAUAUCCUCUGGUCGAUAGAAUAAUGUAGGCAAGGAAAGUCAGCAAAAUGGAUCCAUAACUUCGGGAAAAGGAUAGGCUUUGAAGGCUGGACAUGGGGGUCCCAGUACCAAACCCGUUAACUGUUGAUAGACUAUUUGAGCUGGUCCUAUGGUCAGAGCGGGUUGCUGUGUGCCGUCCAGGGGAUGGAAUGGGAAUGGUUCCUUCAGGGGCCUUCCCCACGCGUCGAACAACCAACUCAAAAUUGGUACGUGCAAGGGGAAUCUGACUGUUUAAUUAAAACAAAGCAUUGUGAUGGUUCCAAUGGAUGUUCACGCAAUGUGAUUUUUGCCAGUACUCUGAAUGUCAAAGUGAAGAAAUCGGAGGGAGUAAUUAUGACUCUCUUAAGGUAGCCAAAUGCCUUAUCAUCUAAUUAGUGAUGCACAUGAAUGGAUUAACGAGAUUCCCACUGUCUCUUUCUACUAUCCGGCAAAAUCACAACUAAAGGAAUGGGCUUUGCAGAAUCAGCGGGGAAAGAAGACCCUAUUGAACUUGACUCUAGACCGACUUUGUAAAAUGACUUGAGAGGUGUAGUAUAAGCAGGAGCCAAAAGGAAAAAGUGAAAUACCACUACUUUUAACGUUAUUUUACUUAUUCCGUGAAUUGGAAGUGGGGCACUGCCCCUAUUUUUGGAUGCAAGGCUUGCUUAGUGGGCCAUUUCAGGUAGAAGACAUUGUCAAGUAAGGAUUUUGGCUGGGGUGGCACAUCUAUUAAAGGAUAAUACAAGUGUCCUAAGAUCAGCUCAACGAGAACAGAAAUCUCAUGUAGAAUAGAAGGGUAAAAACUCAUUUGAUUCUGAUUUCUAGUACGAAUACGAACCAUGAAAACAUGGCCUAAUGUUCCUUUAGACCUUCGAAAUUCACAGCUAGAGGUGUCAGAAAAGUUACCACAAGGUUAACUACCUUGUCGUAGCCAAGCGUUCGUAGCGACGUUAUGUUUUUAUCCUUCGAUAUCGGCUCUUCGUAUCAUUACGAAGCAUAAUUCACCAAGUGUUGGAUUAUUCACUCACCAAUAGGGAAGUGAGCUGGGUUUAGACCUUCGUGAGAUAGCUUAGUUUUACCCUAGUGAUAAUAGUGUCGCAAUAGUAAUUCAAUCUAGUACGAGAGGAUCCGUUAAUUCACAUAAUUGGUCAUCACGAUUGGUUGAAAAGCCAUUGGCACAAAGCUACCAUAUGCUGGAUUAUGACUGAACGUCUCUAAUUUAGAAUCAGGUCUAAAAGUAAUGCAUGUGCCCAUCGUCUGCUUGCCGACCCGCAGUAGGGGCCUCAGCCCCUAAGGGCAUGUGUCGUUAGCUAAGCCAUCACGAUGAAAGAGUCACAGUGUCCAUCUUGCAGUUUAAUUUUCCUCGAACCGUGGGUAGAAUCCUUUGCAGAUGACUUAAAUACGCGAUGUGGUAUUUUAAGUGGCAGAGUGGACUUGCUGCCAAGAUUCACUAAGAUUCAUCCCUUUGUCACUCUAGUUCGU